Molecule: ribosomal RNA, 2930 nt
Filed under: Escherichia coli
Lineage: Bacteria; Pseudomonadati; Pseudomonadota; Gammaproteobacteria; Enterobacterales; Enterobacteriaceae
Description: 23S ribosomal RNA
Rfam family: Bacterial large subunit ribosomal RNA
Source: RNAcentral
GGGUUGUGAGGUUAAGCGACUAAGCGUACACGGUGGAUGCCCUGGCAGUCAGAGGCGAUGAAGGACGUGCUAAUCUGCGAUAAGCGUCGGUAAGGUGAUAUGAACCGUUAUAACCGGCGAUUUCCGAAUGGGGAAACCCAGUGUGAUUCGUCACACUAUCAUUAACUGAAUCCAUAGGUUAAUGAGGCGAACCGGGGGAACUGAAACAUCUAAGUACCCCGAGGAAAAGAAAUCAACCGAGAUUCCCCCAGUAGCGGCGAGCGAACGGGGAGCAGCCCAGAGCCUGAAUCAGUGUGUGUGUUAGUGGAAGCGUCUGGAAAGGCGCGCGAUACAGGGUGACAGCCCCGUACACAAAAAUGCACAUGCUGUGAGCUCGAUGAGUAGGGCGGGACACGUGGUAUCCUGUCUGAAUAUGGGGGGACCAUCCUCCAAGGCUAAAUACUCCUGACUGACCGAUAGUGAACCAGUACCGUGAGGGAAAGGCGAAAAGAACCCCGGCGAGGGGAGUGAAAAAGAACCUGAAACCGUGUACGUACAAGCAGUGGGAGCACGCUUAGGCGUGUGACUGCGUACCUUUUGUAUAAUGGGUCAGCGACUUAUAUUCUGUAGCAAGGUUAACCGAAUAGGGGAGCCGAAGGGAAACCGAGUCUUAACUGGGCGUUAAGUUGCAGGGUAUAGACCCGAAACCCGGUGAUCUAGCCAUGGGCAGGUUGAAGGUUGGGUAACACUAACUGGAGGACCGAACCGACUAAUGUUGAAAAAUUAGCGGAUGACUUGUGGCUGGGGGUGAAAGGCCAAUCAAACCGGGAGAUAGCUGGUUCUCCCCGAAAGCUAUUUAGGUAGCGCCUCGUGAAUUCAUCUCCGGGGGUAGAGCACUGUUUCGGCAAGGGGGUCAUCCCGACUUACCAACCCGAUGCAAACUGCGAAUACCGGAGAAUGUUAUCACGGGAGACACACGGCGGGUGCUAACGUCCGUCGUGAAGAGGGAAACAACCCAGACCGCCAGCUAAGGUCCCAAAGUCAUGGUUAAGUGGGAAACGAUGUGGGAAGGCCCAGACAGCCAGGAUGUUGGCUUAGAAGCAGCCAUCAUUUAAAGAAAGCGUAAUAGCUCACUGGUCGAGUCGGCCUGCGCGGAAGAUGUAACGGGGCUAAACCAUGCACCGAAGCUGCGGCAGCGACGCUUAUGCGUUGUUGGGUAGGGGAGCGUUCUGUAAGCCUGCGAAGGUGUGCUGUGAGGCAUGCUGGAGGUAUCAGAAGUGCGAAUGCUGACAUAAGUAACGAUAAAGCGGGUGAAAAGCCCGCUCGCCGGAAGACCAAGGGUUCCUGUCCAACGUUAAUCGGGGCAGGGUGAGUCGACCCCUAAGGCGAGGCCGAAAGGCGUAGUCGAUGGGAAACAGGUUAAUAUUCCUGUACUUGGUGUUACUGCGAAGGGGGGACGGAGAAGGCUAUGUUGGCCGGGCGACGGUUGUCCCGGUUUAAGCGUGUAGGCUGGUUUUCCAGGCAAAUCCGGAAAAUCAAGGCUGAGGCGUGAUGACGAGGCACUACGGUGCUGAAGCAACAAAUGCCCUGCUUCCAGGAAAAGCCUCUAAGCAUCAGGUAACAUCAAAUCGUACCCCAAACCGACACAGGUGGUCAGGUAGAGAAUACCAAGGCGCUUGAGAGAACUCGGGUGAAGGAACUAGGCAAAAUGGUGCCGUAACUUCGGGAGAAGGCACGCUGAUAUGUAGGUGAAGUCCCUCGCGGAUGGAGCUGAAAUCAGUCGAAGAUACCAGCUGGCUGCAACUGUUUAUUAAAAACACAGCACUGUGCAAACACGAAAGUGGACGUAUACGGUGUGACGCCUGCCCGGUGCCGGAAGGUUAAUUGAUGGGGUUAGCGCAAGCGAAGCUCUUGAUCGAAGCCCCGGUAAACGGCGGCCGUAACUAUAACGGUCCUAAGGUAGCGAAAUUCCUUGUCGGGUAAGUUCCGACCUGCACGAAUGGCGUAAUGAUGGCCAGGCUGUCUCCACCCGAGACUCAGUGAAAUUGAACUCGCUGUGAAGAUGCAGUGUACCCGCGGCAAGACGGAAAGACCCCGUGAACCUUUACUAUAGCUUGACACUGAACAUUGAGCCUUGAUGUGUAGGAUAGGUGGGAGGCUUUGAAGUGUGGACGCCAGUCUGCAUGGAGCCGACCUUGAAAUACCACCCUUUAAUGUUUGAUGUUCUAACGUUGACCCGUAAUCCGGGUUGCGGACAGUGUCUGGUGGGUAGUUUGACUGGGGCGGUCUCCUCCUAAAGAGUAACGGAGGAGCACGAAGGUUGGCUAAUCCUGGUCGGACAUCAGGAGGUUAGUGCAAUGGCAUAAGCCAGCUUGACUGCGAGCGUGACGGCGCGAGCAGGUGCGAAAGCAGGUCAUAGUGAUCCGGUGGUUCUGAAUGGAAGGGCCAUCGCUCAACGGAUAAAAGGUACUCCGGGGAUAACAGGCUGAUACCGCCCAAGAGUUCAUAUCGACGGCGGUGUUUGGCACCUCGAUGUCGGCUCAUCACAUCCUGGGGCUGAAGUAGGUCCCAAGGGUAUGGCUGUUCGCCAUUUAAAGUGGUACGCGAGCUGGGUUUAGAACGUCGUGAGACAGUUCGGUCCCUAUCUGCCGUGGGCGCUGGAGAACUGAGGGGGGCUGCUCCUAGUACGAGAGGACCGGAGUGGACGCAUCACUGGUGUUCGGGUUGUCAUGCCAAUGGCACUGCCCGGUAGCUAAAUGCGGAAGAGAUAAGUGCUGAAAGCAUCUAAGCACGAAACUUGCCCCGAGAUGAGUUCUCCCUGACUCCUUGAGAGUCCUGAAGGAACGUUGAAGACGACGACGUUGAUAGGCCGGAUGUGUAAGCGCAGCGAUGCGUUGAGCUAACCGGUACUAAUGAACCGUGAGGCUUAACCUUACAACGCCGAAGCUGUU